GAGCAAUAUUAGCAUACAUUUGAAACCGUGUUUCUGGCCAACUGAUGAAUCUGACCUGUGUGGUGCUUCAGAAAUAAUAACAGAAUUGAGAACAGCAACAGCGGUGACAAGAGCUAUUACAACGCCAUGCAACACAACAACAGAGGACAGACAGCACUCCGCACCAGAUGGGUGCUUCCUGUGCCAGGCAGGAAAUGGCACUGAGCUCCCUUGCCAUCAUAUUUUAUUUUAGCAGAGAACAGAGAUGAUCAUCACUUCAUCCUCGACACAUCCAUCCCCCAACGGGAAGUCCGCACAAAGCUAGUACAGGAGGACACAAUGAGGUGGCAGCUCCGCUUGGCUCCAGCAUAGCCGGAACAGGAAGCGAAUUACCUCCCACGGGUCUCUGUGGUGUGUCUGUGUCUGGUUGUGUGUUGUGUG
Molecule: long non-coding RNA, 420 nt
Organism: Etheostoma spectabile (orangethroat darter)
Lineage: Eukaryota; Metazoa; Chordata; Actinopteri; Perciformes; Percidae
Exons: 3
Source: RefSeq, a predicted model, not a curated record